UACAGAGGUGGCAAGCGUUGUUCGGAUUUACUGGGCGUAAAGCGCACGUAGGCGGAUCGAUCAGUCAGGGGUGAAAUCCCAGAGCUCAACUCUGGAACUGCCUUUGAUACUGUCGAUCUGGAGUAUGGAAGAGGUGAGUGGAAUUCCCAGUGUAGCGGUGAAAUGCGUAGAUAUUGGGAGGAACACCGGUGGCGAAGGCGGCCCCCUGGACCGGUACUGACGCUGAGGCGCGAAAGCGUGGGUAGCAAACGGG
This 253-nucleotide ribosomal RNA is filed under the name uncultured bacterium. Its description in RNAcentral is "partial 16S ribosomal RNA". It matches the Rfam family "Bacterial small subunit ribosomal RNA", at positions 524 to 776 of the family's 1533-position model. The record is from RNAcentral.